This 527-nucleotide long non-coding RNA is filed under the name Equus caballus (horse). Its description in RNAcentral is "lncRNA (ENSECAG00000047556.1)". Lineage: Eukaryota; Metazoa; Chordata; Mammalia; Perissodactyla; Equidae. The record is from RNAcentral.
CGGAAGUCAGAAAUCGGAAGCCAUCGCCAGGCCAGCCUGGAUCUCCCCUUCCGGGCAAAUCAACCGCCACCCCAGCAACUCAUCCUCAGAUCUCACGUUUUCCAGCGCCCACGACCAGUGGAUCGUUCUGUCUGCAAAGGUCCCUCUUAGAGGGGCCGUAACCCCGUGUGCCGCUGACCCAGCUCAGACCAGACGGGGACCACCACACCUCGCUGGAGACCCCUCACUGCUCCAAGCACAAGAAAUGUGACUCCGAGCAGCGAGUACUCCUGAGGCUCAGAGGGAGAAAAACCCCAGCGUGAAGACAUCACAAGUGCAGGAUUUAAACGUAGAGCCACCCAGUUGCAGAACCCACACUCUGAGCCCGCUGCGGUCCGGCCUCCGCUGAAGACCCAGAUGCACCAGAAGUGAUGUCUAACCUAGAACCCCGUGGCCAGUCAAGUGGACACAUAGGAUUCACCGUCACAGGGGCUUUGCAGAUGUAUUUUCAGUUGAGGAUCUUGACAUGAGAUCAUGCUGGCUUUAAG